AGAUAUUAGGGUUUUUCUUUCAAUAUCACCCUCCUUUCUCCACCCAAUUCUUUUCGUCUCGAUCCCUGAAACAAAUUCACACGGACGUACUAAGUAGGAUGAGAAGAUGAACGUAAAAGGUGUUAUUGCUAACGGUAACCUCACCGAUUUGCCGGAAUUCUAAUUAUGAUGAGAAGAUGAACGCAGGUGCUACAAAUCAAACUAAGUCGUAUCGUAAGUACUAUACAUCUCAUCGUUUCCGUGAAACACAACACACGAUUGUUCGAAUGAUGUUUGGUUUUGUAUAUUGUGUUUUGUUUGGGGGCCGAUGAUAUAUUGGAGGAUUUUAGCCCAAAUCUGGGCGAUCUGUGACUAAGCCCCAAAUCGGCCAACGUAAAGGAAUAAUUUCUGGAGUUGAGAAAUAGAUGUCAAAGUAAAGGAUUAAGUAGGUGCAAAUAGUUUAGAAACCGUUGUAGCAUUCCUUUCGAUCGUCGGUGACUACUUGGUUGCUAAUCAGUAUGAACCAAGAAGGCAUCUGAUAUGCUUCAAAUUGCGCGUAUUUAUGGUCCUAGGAUGUGUUUGGAUGAUGGGCGUGUUGUUAGCAACUUUGUUUCACAGUGUUCGUGAAUGAAAAGGUCCUCAUUUGGAUGUCCUCAAACUAAAGGCAAAUGACUCUCACCUAAGGUUAAGUAUAGUGGCAAGUGAUUAAAGUGUGGUGUUUCUACAACAAAUACUUGAGUUAGGGAUUGAUGUUGGGCAUAUUUGUUUUACACUACACCUGAGGUUUCCUGGUAGCAUACCAAAUAGCUUAUGGCUGCAAUUUGGGGAGUUUGGAAGAAAGGAACAACCAGCACUUGCAAUAUGUUGCAUUUGAAGGACCUGUUGAUUAAUAUUUAUAUAAAACAAUAUCCUCAUAAGCUAUUUGAAGGCCCGUUUGAAUGUAAUCUCAACCGCCACUCCAGCUUUGGUUUUCAAAUCUUGAUAUGAGGUAGAUUAGGAUUUAUUAUACGUAAUUUAGGAGUAGGGCUAUUGUAACAUUCCAUGUAAAAAAAGAAGGUAAUUUCAUCCAUGAGAAGCAUUUAUAGAUAAACAAAUGAUUCGCCACCUUU
Helianthus annuus (common sunflower) is the source of this 1088-nucleotide long non-coding RNA. RefSeq lists it as uncharacterized. NCBI's taxonomy places the organism in Eukaryota, Viridiplantae, Streptophyta, Magnoliopsida, Asterales, Asteraceae. The transcript is spliced from 4 exons. The record is from RefSeq and is a predicted model, not a curated record.